ACCUAGCUGGCUCAGUCAGUAGAACAUGAGACUCUUGAUCUCAGGGUUGUGAGUUCAAGCCCCAUGUUGGGUG
Molecule: transfer RNA, 73 nt
Filed under: Mustela putorius furo (domestic ferret)
Lineage: Eukaryota; Metazoa; Chordata; Mammalia; Carnivora; Mustelidae
Rfam family: tRNA
About the family: Transfer RNA (tRNA) molecules are approximately 80 nucleotides in length. Their secondary structure includes four short double-helical elements and three loops (D, anti-codon, and T loops).
Source: Rfam by way of RNAcentral